Molecule: long non-coding RNA, 488 nt
Organism: Pyrus x bretschneideri (Chinese white pear)
Lineage: Eukaryota; Viridiplantae; Streptophyta; Magnoliopsida; Rosales; Rosaceae
Exons: 3
Source: RefSeq, a predicted model, not a curated record
GCCCAAAGCGGACAAUAUCGUGCUACGGUGGAGUUAAGCCCGGAUGUGGUGGGGGCCCGGCCUGCUUUUCUUGUUGCUGUAUUACCAACCAAAGUGAAUAAGGAUGUCCAACUGAGUAAUGGUGGUGGUGUGAAGCUGCCAACAAAUGAUUUUGAGUCUGGAAAGGCAAGCGUUGUCAACUGCAAUCCCCGAUUGCUGCUGAAUGUUCUUAACUUUCUAAGGCGCUGUGGCAAGGUGCUGGUCAGUGCACUAAUAUUUUGGAAUGCCUGAAAAGCUCUGAAAUUUUCUGGAAAAAAUUGUCCAGUUCUAUUUCGACAACCUCUAACGUGGAAGCUCCUUCACCUGAAAAUAUAACUGAGACAGAAGCUGAAGAUUUGUCAUUCAGAUACCAGUGCCAAUCUGCCAUACUGGAAAUAAUAGCGCAUGACAUGUUCCUGCACAAAAAGCUGUUACAUGCUGAGUCAUUUGUAAAACAACUGCCUGAUCAG